Non-coding RNA from Trichobilharzia regenti, 45 nucleotides. NCBI's taxonomy places the organism in Eukaryota, Metazoa, Platyhelminthes, Trematoda, Strigeidida, Schistosomatidae. The record is from Rfam.
AUCCAGAUGACGAGUCCCAAAUAGGACGAAAUGCACAUUUUGGAU